GACGAACGCUGGCGGCGCGCCUAACACAUGCAAGUCGAACGAGAGAGAGGAAGCUUGCUUCCUUAAUCGAGUGGCGAACGGGUGAGUAACGCGUGAGGAACCUGCCUCAAAGAGGGGGACAACAGUUGGAAACGACUGCUAAUACCGCAUAAGCCCACAGCUCGGCAUCGAGCAGAGGGAAAAGGAGUGAUCCGCUUUGAGAUGGCCUCGCGUCCGAUUAGCUGGUUGGUGAGGUAACGGCCCACCAAGGCAACGAUCGGUAGCCGGACUGAGAGGUUGAACGGCCACAUUGGGACUGAGACACGGCCCAGACUCCUACGGGAGGCAGCAGUGGGGAAUAUUGCACAAUGGGGGAAACCCUGAUGCAGCGACGCCGCGUGGAGGAAGAAGGUCUUCGGAUUGUAAACUCCUGUUGUUGAGGAAGAUAAUGACGGUACUCAACAAGGAAGUGACGGCUAACUACGUGCCAGCAGCCGCGGUAAAACGUAGGUCACAAGCGUUGUCCGGAAUUACUGGGUGUAAAGGGAGCGCAGGCGGGAAGACAAGUUGGAAGUGAAAUCUAUGGGCUCAACCCAUAAACUGCUUUCAAAACUGUUUUUCUUGAGUAGUGCAGAGGUAGGCGGAAUUCCCGGUGUAGCGGUGGAAUGCGUAGAUAUCGGGAGGAACACCAGUGGCGAAGGCGGCCUACUGGGCACCAACUGACGCUGAGGCUCGAAAGUGUGGGUAGCAAACAGG
Molecule: ribosomal RNA, 735 nt
Filed under: uncultured bacterium
Lineage: Bacteria
Description: bacterial SSU rRNA
Rfam family: Bacterial small subunit ribosomal RNA
Source: RNAcentral